This 72-nucleotide transfer RNA is filed under the name Manacus vitellinus (golden-collared manakin). It matches the Rfam family "tRNA". Rfam says of the family: Transfer RNA (tRNA) molecules are approximately 80 nucleotides in length. Their secondary structure includes four short double-helical elements and three loops (D, anti-codon, and T loops). Further hydrogen bonds mediate the characteristic L-shaped molecular structure. tRNAs have two regions of fundamental functional importance: the anti-codon, which is responsible for specific mRNA codon recognition, and the 3' end, to which the tRNAs corresponding amino acid is attached (by aminoacyl-tRNA synthetases). tRNAs cope with the degeneracy of the genetic code in two manners: having more than one tRNA (with a specific anti-codon) for a particular amino acid; and 'wobble' base-pairing, i.e. permitting non-standard base-pairing at the 3rd anti-codon position. The record is from Rfam by way of RNAcentral. Lineage: Eukaryota; Metazoa; Chordata; Aves; Passeriformes; Pipridae.
CCCCUGGUGGUCUAGUGGUUAGGAUGCAGCACUCUUACCUCCAUGACCCGGGUUCGAUUCCUGGUCAGGGAA